Molecule: ribosomal RNA, 565 nt
Filed under: Anaplasmataceae bacterium
Lineage: Bacteria; Pseudomonadati; Pseudomonadota; Alphaproteobacteria; Rickettsiales; Anaplasmataceae
Description: Bacterial small subunit ribosomal RNA
Rfam family: Bacterial small subunit ribosomal RNA
Source: Rfam by way of RNAcentral
UUCUUUGAGAAUUUGAUCUUGGUUCAGAUUGAAUGCUGACAGCGUGGAUGAGGCAUGCAAGUCGAACGAAGUAGAAGGGUAACCUGCUACUUAGUGGCGGAAGGGUUAGUAAUACAUGAAUAACCUGCCUUUAACCUGGGGAUAACGGCUGGAAACGGCCGCUAAUACCGAAUGAGGUGGAAAUAGGGCAUCCUAAAUUCAUCAAAGUAGGGGACCUUGAAAGAGGCCUUGCGGUUAGAGAGGGGUUCAUGGGAUAUCAGCUAGUUGGUGUGGUAAAGGCGCACCAAGGCUAAGACGUCUAGGCGGAUUGAGAGAUUGACCGCCAACAUUGGGACUGAGAUACUGCCCAGACUCCUACGGGAGGCUGCAGUCGAGAAUCUUUCGCAAUGGGCGAAAGCCUGACGAAGCGACGCUGUGUGAGUGAUGAAGGCCUUCGGGUUGUAAAGCUCUUUCGCCUGCGAGCAAGAGAGGGCGGUGAAUAACCGCUCGAUUUGAGUGUACCAGGUAAAGAAGCACCGGCUAACUCCGUGCCAGCAGCUGCGGUAAUACGGAGGGUGCAAGCAUU